CCUACGGGCGGCAGCAGUAGGGAAUCUUUCACAAUGGGCGAAAGCCUGAUGGAGCAACGCCGCGUGCAGGAUGAAGGCCUUCGGGUUGUAAACUGCUUUUAUAAGCGAGAAAUAUGAUGGUAACUUAUGAAUAAGGAUCGGCUAACUACGUGCCAGCAGCCGCGGUCAUACGUAGGAUCCGAGCAUUAUCCGGAGUGACUGGGUGUAAAGAGUUGCGUAGGUGGCAUAAUAAGUAGCUAGUGAAAUCUGGUGGCUCAACCAUUCAGACUAUUAGGUAAACUGUUAAGCUCGAGACCGUUAGGGGUAACUGGAAUUUCUAGUGUAGGAGUGAAAUCCGUAGAUAUUAGAAGGAACACCAAUAGCGUAGGCAGGUUGCUGGGACGGUUCUGACACUAAGGCACGAAAGCGUAGGGAGCAAACGGGAUUAGAUACCCCAGUAGUC
RNAcentral lists this ribosomal RNA (442 nucleotides) under uncultured bacterium. RNAcentral's name for it is "partial 16S ribosomal RNA". It matches the Rfam family "Bacterial small subunit ribosomal RNA", at positions 338 to 795 of the family's 1533-position model. The record is from RNAcentral.